This 219-nucleotide ribosomal RNA is filed under the name proteobacterium enrichment culture clone E29. RNAcentral describes it as "partial 16S ribosomal RNA". It matches the Rfam family "Bacterial small subunit ribosomal RNA", at positions 85 to 321 of the family's 1533-position model. Lineage: Bacteria; Pseudomonadati; Pseudomonadota. The record is from RNAcentral.
UUCGGGAUUAGUGGCGGACGGGUGAGGAACACGUGGGAACGUGCCUUUUGGUUCGGAACAACUCAGGGAAACUUGAGCUAAUACCGGAUAAGCCCUUCGGGGGAAAGAUUUAUCGCCAUUAGAGCGGCCCGCGUCUGAUUAGCUAGUUGGUGAGGUAAAGGCUCACCAAGGCGACGAUCAGUAGCUGGUCUGAGAGGAUGAUCAGCCACACUGGGACUG